Molecule: transfer RNA, 77 nt
Filed under: Kribbella flavida DSM 17836
Lineage: Bacteria; Bacillati; Actinomycetota; Actinomycetes; Propionibacteriales; Kribbellaceae
Description: tRNA-Leu
Rfam family: tRNA
About the family: Transfer RNA (tRNA) molecules are approximately 80 nucleotides in length.
Source: RNAcentral
GCCCUGGUACUCCAAUUGGCAGAGAGCGCGGAUUCAAAACCCGUUCAGUGUGGGUUCGAGUCCCACCCAGGGCACCU